RNAcentral lists this ribosomal RNA (253 nucleotides) under uncultured bacterium. RNAcentral describes it as "partial 16S ribosomal RNA". It matches the Rfam family "Bacterial small subunit ribosomal RNA", at positions 524 to 776 of the family's 1533-position model. The record is from RNAcentral.
UACGUAGGGUGCAAGCGUUGUCCGGAUUUAUUGGGCGUAAAGAGCUCGUAGGCGGUUUGUCGCGUCUGCCGUGAAAGUCCGGGGCUCAACUCCGGAUCUGCGGUGGGUACGGGCAGACUAGAGUGAUGUAGGGGAGACUGGAAUUCCUGGUGUAGCGGUGAAAUGCGCAGAUAUCAGGAGGAACACCGAUGGCGAAGGCAGGUCUCUGGGCAUUAACUGACGCUGAGGAGCGAAAGCGUGGGGAGCGAACAGG